Molecule: ribosomal RNA, 496 nt
Filed under: uncultured bacterium
Lineage: Bacteria
Description: partial 16S ribosomal RNA
Rfam family: Bacterial small subunit ribosomal RNA
Source: RNAcentral
GAUGAACGCUGGCGGCGUGCCUAAUACAUGCAAGUCGAGCGAACGGACGAGAAGCUUGCUUCUCUGCUGUUAGCGGCGGACGGGUGAGUAACACGUGGCUAACCUACCUAUAAGACUGGGAUCACUUCGGGAACCGGAGCUAAUCCCGGAUAAUAUUUUGGACCGCGUGGUUCCAACGUAAAAGACGCUCUUGCUGUCACUUAUAGAUGGUUCGCCGCUGCAUUAGCUAGUUGGUAAGGUAACGGCUUACCAAGACAACGAUGCAUAGCCGACCUGAGAGGGUGAUCGGCCACACUGGAACUGAGACACGGUCCAGACUCCUACGGGAGGCAGCAGUAGGGAAUCUUCCGCAAUGGGCGAAAGCCUGACGGAGCAAUGCCGCGUGUGUGAUGAAGGUCUUCGGAUCGUAAAACUCUGUUAUUAGGGAAGAACAUAUGUGUAAGUAACUGUGCACAUCUUGACGGUACCUAAUCAGAAAGCCACGGCUAACUACGUG